This 271-nucleotide ribosomal RNA is filed under the name uncultured bacterium. RNAcentral's name for it is "partial 16S ribosomal RNA". It matches the Rfam family "Bacterial small subunit ribosomal RNA", at positions 524 to 794 of the family's 1533-position model. The record is from RNAcentral.
UACGUAGGGUGCGAGCGUUGUCCGGAAUUACUGGGUGUAAAGGGUCCGCAGGCGGGCAGGAAAGUCAGAGGUGAAAGACUUCGGCUCAACCGAAGAAUUGCCUUUGAUACUUCUUGUCUUGAAUCCGAGAGAGGAUAGUGGAAUUCAUGGUGUAGCGGUGAAAUGCGUAGAGAUCAUGAAGAACACCAGUAGCGAAGGCGGCUAUCUGGCUCGGUAUUGACGCUCAGGGACGAAAGCGUGGGUAGCAAACAGGAUUAGAAACCCGAGUAGU